UACGGGGUGGGGCUGAGGACAAAUACACAUGCGUUAAUCGCACGUUAAAAUAAUUAGUGGCGUUAUUUUAUUUGGCGUUCACACUUUAUUAACGCGUUAUUAACCCGUUAACUUGACAACCCUAAAAAAAAAACGUUUUCCUUCUCUCAGGGACAUUUCACGAGGGUAUGAGGCAGUUCCUAUUGCCUGUGUUAAUAAUGUGGACAGCGAGCCGAGCCCGGAAAACUUUAAGUACAUCCCUGACAGCUGUGUGACCUCCGCCCUGAACAUAGACCGAGACAUCACUCAUCUACAGCACUGCAGCUGCACAGAAGACUGCUCCUCCAGCAGCUGCAUGUGUGGGCAGCUCAGUCUGCGCUGCUGGUAUGAUGGAGAGGGUCGACUACCCCUGGACUUCUGUCAGAGGGAGCCCCCCGUGCUCUUUGAGUGUAACCACGCUUGCUCCUGCUGGAGGAGCUGCAGGAACAGAGUGGUGCAGAACGGCCU
Molecule: long non-coding RNA, 486 nt
Organism: Notothenia coriiceps (black rockcod)
Lineage: Eukaryota; Metazoa; Chordata; Actinopteri; Perciformes; Nototheniidae
Exons: 3
Source: RefSeq, a predicted model, not a curated record